RNAcentral lists this ribosomal RNA (501 nucleotides) under uncultured bacterium. RNAcentral describes it as "partial 16S ribosomal RNA". It matches the Rfam family "Bacterial small subunit ribosomal RNA", at positions 30 to 523 of the family's 1533-position model. The record is from RNAcentral.
AUUGAACGCUGGCGGCAUGCCUUACACAUGCAAGUCGAACGGCAGCACGGGUGCUUGCACCUGGUGGCGAGUGGCGAACGGGUGAGUAAUACAUCGGAACGUACCUUAUCGUGGGGGAUAACGCAGCGAAAGCUGUGCUAAUACCGCAUACGCCCUGAGGGGGAAAGCGGGGGAUCGCAAGACCUCGCGCGAUUGGAGCGGCCGAUGCCUGAUUAGCUAGUUGGUGGGGUAAAAGCCCACCAAGGCGACGAUCAGUAGCUGGUCUGAGAGGACGAUCAGCCACACUGGGACUGAGACACGGCCCAGACUCCUACGGGAGGCAGCAGUGGGGAAUUUUGGACAAUGGGGGCAACCCUGAUCCAGCAAUGCCGCGUGAGUGAAGAAGGCCUUCGGGUUGUAAAGCUCUUUUGUCUGGGAAGAAACACUGGCUCUAACACAGUCCGGGAAUGACGGUACCUGAAGAAUAAGCACCGGCUAACUACGUGCCAGCCGCCGCCGUAA